GGAGAGAUGCCCGAGUGGUUGAAGGGGACGGCCUCGAAAGUCGUUGUGGGCGUAAGCUCACCGGGGGUUCGAAUCCCUCUCUCUCCG
Molecule: transfer RNA, 87 nt
Filed under: Spirochaetia bacterium
Lineage: Bacteria; Pseudomonadati; Spirochaetota; Spirochaetia
Description: tRNA-Ser
Rfam family: tRNA
About the family: Transfer RNA (tRNA) molecules are approximately 80 nucleotides in length. Their secondary structure includes four short double-helical elements and three loops (D, anti-codon, and T loops). Further hydrogen bonds mediate the characteristic L-shaped molecular structure. tRNAs have two regions of fundamental functional importance: the anti-codon, which is responsible for specific mRNA codon recognition, and the 3' end, to which the tRNAs corresponding amino acid is attached (by aminoacyl-tRNA synthetases). tRNAs cope with the degeneracy of the genetic code in two manners: having more than one tRNA (with a specific anti-codon) for a particular amino acid; and 'wobble' base-pairing, i.e. permitting non-standard base-pairing at the 3rd anti-codon position.
Source: RNAcentral